GAAAUAUGACUGACCAAAUAAUAGCCGCUAACUAAUUAUUUUAACGGUUCAAUUCCGUUUAUAUUUCU
This 68-nucleotide transfer RNA is filed under the name Micadina brachyptera. Its description in RNAcentral is "tRNA-Ser". The record is from RNAcentral. Lineage: Eukaryota; Metazoa; Arthropoda; Insecta; Phasmatodea; Lonchodidae.